GUGCUCAUUUGGGCAGCACUUAUACCAAAAUUAGAAAGACGCAGAGAAGACCAGCAUGGCCCCAGUGCGAGCACGAUGCCCAGACUGGUGAAGAGUUCCACAUUUUC
RNAcentral lists this small nuclear RNA (107 nucleotides) under Catagonus wagneri (Chacoan peccary). The record is from RNAcentral. Lineage: Eukaryota; Metazoa; Chordata; Mammalia; Artiodactyla; Tayassuidae.